UGAGGAACAUGACCUUCGGCGGGGGAUAGCCGGCCCAACGGCCGGGUAAUACCGCGUACGACCACAUGGGGACAUCCCUGAGUGGUGAAAGCAGCAAUGCGCCGAUGGAGUGCCUCGCGGCCUAUCAGCUAGUUGGUGAGGUAACGGCUCACCAAGGCGACGACGGGUAGCUGGUCUGAGAGGAUGGCCAGCCACAUUGGGACUGAGACACGUCCCAGACUNUACGGGAGG
Molecule: ribosomal RNA, 231 nt
Filed under: uncultured bacterium
Lineage: Bacteria
Description: partial 16S ribosomal RNA
Rfam family: Bacterial small subunit ribosomal RNA
Source: RNAcentral